RNAcentral lists this ribosomal RNA (497 nucleotides) under uncultured bacterium. RNAcentral's name for it is "partial 16S ribosomal RNA". It matches the Rfam family "Bacterial small subunit ribosomal RNA", at positions 28 to 507 of the family's 1533-position model. The record is from RNAcentral.
GAUGAACGCUGGCGGCGUGCCUAAUACAUGCAAGUCGAGCGAACGGACGAGAAGCUUGCUUCUCUGAUGUUAGCGGCGGACGGGUGAGUAACACGUGGAUAACCUACCUAUAAGACUGGGAUAGCUUCGGGAAACCGGAGCUAAUACCGGAUAAUAUUUUGAACCGCAUGGUUCAAAAGUGAAAGACGGUCUUGCUGUCACUUAUAGAUGGAUCCGCGCUGCAUUAGCUAGUUGGUAAGGUAACGGCUUACCAAGGCAACGAUGCAUAGCCGACCUGAGAGGGUGAUCGGCCACACUGGAACUGAGACACGGUCCAGACUCCUACGAGAGGCAGCAGUAGGGAAUCUUCCGCAAUGGGCGAAAGCCUGACGGAGCAACGCCGCGUGAGUGAUGAAGGUCUUCGGAUCGUAAAACUCUGUUAUUAGGGAAGAACAUAUGUGUAAGUAACUGUGCACAUCUUGACGGUACCUAAUCAGAAAGCCACGGCUAACUACGUG